RNAcentral lists this unclassified non-coding RNA (544 nucleotides) under Hevea brasiliensis (rubber tree). The record is from RNAcentral. Lineage: Eukaryota; Viridiplantae; Streptophyta; Magnoliopsida; Malpighiales; Euphorbiaceae.
GCCACGUGUCAACACUCACUCUUAUUAUAUUUUUUUUUGUUGGACCCACAGUUCACUCAGUAGCAACCCGGAGCCCAAUUGACUUCUUCAUCCAUCCCCACACAAGCACAACACAACACACAUGGUCAUCGCGAAAGGGCUCGCCGGAGCACUGGAGCCAACAACGCUGGGGCACUCAAAUGUGGCAAAUGACCCUCUGUCCUUAAUAAUUCGACCGUGCUCCCCCCACCCAAAUGGGUCUUCAAAUACUCCGCCACCGAGGCUGGUACGGACACGUCCUUGGAUGUCUGAAUUAUGCAACAGGGUACCUUGACUAGGCCUAGUAUCCCUCUUAGAUCACUAUUAAAUACGGUCCUGGAUACAAAUAAUGUGAUAUCUGGCCUCAUAUUGAAAAGGGUCCGGCUGAAUUCUCUAACCGCCGCCGGCACAUCCGCCCCCACGGCUAGAGGCGCAAAACCAUUGACCCAGGCCUCAUAAUUCGCUUCCAUUGCUACAAAAACAUUCUCAAUAUCAGCUCGCUCGAAUCCUCCAUGGUAAUCUUUGU